GUCUAUGGCCAUACCACCCUGAACGCACCCAAUCUCAUCUGAUCUCAGAAGCUAAGCAGGGUCUGGCCUGGUUAGUAUUUGGAUGGGAAACAGGGACCAGCAGGGUUCAGGCA
This 113-nucleotide ribosomal RNA is filed under the name Nannospalax galili (Upper Galilee mountains blind mole rat). Lineage: Eukaryota; Metazoa; Chordata; Mammalia; Rodentia; Spalacidae. The record is from RNAcentral.